UGUUUCGGGCAGCGACGUCGCACCUCUCCUGCGAGUUGUUGGAUUCGGCACCAGUGCAGCACGGCUUCGGCCGAGACCCGGUUUUCUUUUGUGUUGAGUACCCGCGCGAAGGCACGCGUGCCUUUUGUCCCAACGGUCCCUCGUUCGUCCGGUGCUCCCCGGUCUCCGGCGGGGCACUGGUCGAAACUCGUAGCUCGGUCCGUUAACCGCGCGCGCCGCGGUGAUCGGGCACUGCUCGAGCUCUCGGAUACGGAAAGCGCCGAGGGGCACGGGCGGCUCCGCCGUCCUUUGCCCGAGCACGCGAUUGCGACGUAAAUAGAGACCCCCGAACGAACGACGGUCCCUCCCGCCUCGGCCAGGCCGUGCGGGCAGCGGACGUCGCUGAGGAAUGCUACCUGGUUGAUCCUGCCAGU
This 413-nucleotide unclassified non-coding RNA is filed under the name Oxypetalum banksii. RNAcentral describes it as "partial external transcribed spacer". The record is from RNAcentral. Lineage: Eukaryota; Viridiplantae; Streptophyta; Magnoliopsida; Gentianales; Apocynaceae.